This 754-nucleotide ribosomal RNA is filed under the name Acinetobacter sp. enrichment culture clone BB_XS-6. RNAcentral's name for it is "bacterial SSU rRNA". It matches the Rfam family "Bacterial small subunit ribosomal RNA", at positions 35 to 787 of the family's 1533-position model. Lineage: Bacteria; Pseudomonadati; Pseudomonadota; Gammaproteobacteria; Moraxellales; Moraxellaceae. The record is from RNAcentral.
GCAUUGCGGCAGCUUACCAUGCAGUCGAGCGGGGGAGGUAGCUUGCUACCGGACCUAGCGGCGGACGGGUGAGUAAUGCUUAGGAAUCUGCCUAUUAGUGGGGGACAACAUCUCGAAAGGGAUGCUAAUACCGCAUACGUCCUACGGGAGAAAGCAGGGGAUCUUCGGACCUUGCGCUAAUAGAUGAGCCUAAGUCGGAUUAGCUAGUUGGUGGGGUAAAGGCCUACCAAGGCGACGAUCUGUAGCGGGUCUGAGAGGAUGAUCCGCCACACUGGGACUGAGACACGGCCCAGACUCCUACGGGAGGCAGCAGUGGGGAAUAUUGGACAAUGGGGGGAACCCUGAUCCAGCCAUGCCGCGUGUGUGAAGAAGGCCUUAUGGUUGUAAAGCACUUUAAGCGAGGAGGAGGCUACUUUAGUUAAUACCUAGAGAUAGUGGACGUUACUCGCAGAAUAAGCACCGGCUAACUCUGUGCCAGCAGCCGCGGUAAUACAGAGGGUGCGAGCGUUAAUCGGAUUUACUGGGCGUAAAGCGUGCGUAGGCGGCUUAUUAAGUCGGAUGUGAAAUCCCCGAGCUUAACUUGGGAAUUGCAUUCGAUACUGGUGAGCUAGAGUAUGGGAGAGGAUGGUAGAAUUCCAGGUGUAGCGGUGAAAUGCGUAGAGAUCUGGAGGAAUACCGAUGGCGAAGGCAGCCAUCUGGCCUAAUACUGACGCUGAGGUACGAAAGCAUGGGGGAGCAAACAGGAUAGUCUCCC